CCCUCCUGCCAAUGGUCAAAGAGACAUCUUGUUAGUGAUGUUGUCUUCUAUCAGUCAGGGACAGAGCAGAUGGCAGUCCUUUGUUGAUCCUUGAUGCCUGGCUUGGUGGCCAAAGCUGUUUUAUGCCUGGGACACAUAA
This is a small nucleolar RNA of Mastomys coucha (southern multimammate mouse), 139 nucleotides long. RefSeq annotates it as small nucleolar RNA SNORA48. The transcript has a single exon. Lineage: Eukaryota; Metazoa; Chordata; Mammalia; Rodentia; Muridae. The record is from RefSeq and is a predicted model, not a curated record.